UACGUAGGUGGCGAGCGUUGUCCGGAUUUACUGGGCGUAAAGAGCGCGCAGGCGGUCGUACAAGUCGCGUGUGAAAGCCCCCGGCUCAACUGGGGAGGGUCACGCGAUACUGUUCGACUCGAAGGCAGGAGAGGGUAGUGGAAUUCCCGGUGUAGUGGUGAAAUGCGUAGAUAUCGGGAGGAACACGAGCGGCGAGGGCGACUACGUGGACUGUUAUUGACGCUGAGGUGCGAAAGCGUGGGGAGCAA
Molecule: ribosomal RNA, 248 nt
Filed under: uncultured bacterium
Lineage: Bacteria
Description: partial 16S ribosomal RNA
Rfam family: Bacterial small subunit ribosomal RNA
Source: RNAcentral